Molecule: ribosomal RNA, 253 nt
Filed under: uncultured bacterium
Lineage: Bacteria
Description: partial 16S ribosomal RNA
Rfam family: Bacterial small subunit ribosomal RNA
Source: RNAcentral
UACGUAGGCAGCGAGCGUUGUUCGGAGUUACUGGGCGUAAAGAGUGCGUAGGCGGUUUUCUAAGUUUGGUGUGAAAUCUCCCGGCUCAACUGGGAGGGGUCGUGCGAUACGGGCGGGCUCGAGGCAGGUAGGGGGAAGCGGAAUUCCCGGUGUAGUGGUGGAAUGCGUAGAUAUCGGGAGGAACACCAGUGGCGAAGGCGACUACCUGGCCUGUUCUUGACGCUGAGGCGCGAAAGCUAGGGGAGCAAACGGG